RNAcentral lists this unclassified non-coding RNA (207 nucleotides) under Glomus sp. RNAcentral describes it as "partial contains 5.8S ribosomal RNA and internal transcribed spacer 2". The stretch from base 1 to 65 matches the Rfam family "5.8S ribosomal RNA", at positions 84 to 154 of the family's 154-position model. Lineage: Eukaryota; Fungi; Glomeromycota; Glomeromycetes; Glomerales; Glomeraceae. The record is from RNAcentral.
GUGAAUCAUCAAAUUUUUGAACGCAAAUUGCACUCUCCUCGGAGAGUAUGCCUGUUUGAGGGUCAGCCUAUAAAAAUCGACAUCGUUGCUGUUUCGCGGUGGCGUUCGUCGGAAAUUGGGUCAUCUUAAAUCCUUUUGAUUUAAGCGACUUAAAAUUUUCUUUUGGUCCCUUAACGGUUUUAAGAUUCUAUUCUUUACACGGUUUAG